This 2681-nucleotide long non-coding RNA is filed under the name Podarcis lilfordi (Lilford's wall lizard). Lineage: Eukaryota; Metazoa; Chordata; Lepidosauria; Squamata; Lacertidae. The record is from RNAcentral.
GCCCCGGAACCGAUUCGGGUGGGUGGAUGGGGAGGAGAAGCAGCGACAGCGAGGGCUGGGCCUGCGAAGCGGGGCAGGGGCGGAAGUUGUUCCUCAGGGCGGCGGAUCGGCGGAGGGAGGGUAGCCGCCAUGGCUGUGCGAUGGGUUUUAGGCUUAUGCCGGUAGCAGAGUCCUUUUCCCUUUUCCCCGCGAGGGAAAGCGUAGGAUCUCCCUGAAAUCUCCCUUCUGUCAUUUCCCCCUUUAUUCCGGCAGGGAGGAAAGGAAACUCUAAAACCUUCCUUCUGAAAUGUGGAAUUUCCGAUUGAUCCAGAAUAAGACACUCCCCCCCCCUCCAUCGAAGGGUAAACAUAUAGUGUACUGCACUCACAAGGCGUCUUCUGCUGUAGCCUUUGCUGCUCUGAGGCAGUUCAUCCAGGAUGCCAAGCCUCGUCUGUCAAGUUAGAAUUUGGCCCCGGAACCUCCCUCGCCCCUUUUAAAACUAUUUAUCUAUAUCUCUAGCUCUAGGCUGCCUUCCAUUUCAGCAGUGAUUGACUCCGAUCAGCCGCUCGCCCAUAGAAUCAAUAUAAUUGUACAGAUGGAAGGUACCUGUGUUAACCACGUUGCUGGAGUUAGGGGGAAGGAAGCCCCACUGAAGCCGACGAGGGUUAACGCCCAAACAAGCAUGCGUGGGAUUACUCCAUUGAGCGCUGGUUUUACUCCCACAAAUGCUCAGAGACCAAAGCUUUGUUUCAGAGAUACUCUGGGUCAACCAAUCUGCUUUAGAGUGAUGGAACCCACAGCAUUCUUAGACUUGCAGUCUUAAGACUUCCACUUACUUAGAUGUAAUCUGCAUAGAACUCAAGGGUACUUAUUUCUGAGCAACUAUGCACAUUUGGGUGCAAAGCAUGGGGAGGCAAUCCGCAGUGGCAAAAGGGUGCUGGGGGGGGGGGGAGAGAAAUAGGAUCACUCCCCACUUGCUACAAACUGUGACUUCUAUUUCCAGACAAAGACAAACAUGGGAUAGAUCGUGAUGUAGUCAACGUUUAGUCCUGUUUAGUCCUUAGGGAGACCUAUUAUGAAGUAUUGGAAAGAAUGCAUCACUUUUCAGUCUUAUAAUUGACUGGUGCAGCAGUAUAUGAAUAUUUACAUUUUAAAUAGGAUGGUUCAAAGGCAGGACACAACCAAGAACACCAAUGUUCUGAACAUAUGCAACUAGGGCAGAAUAAUUUAUCUUUGCAGUAUUCCUUGUGUUAAAGAUCUGCAAACUUUUAACUUUAUUCUUCCUCACAAUCAGACACAUUUGGGAAUUAAAUUAUACUUUAUUUGGAACAACUUCACCCUUACAUGUAUUAACCCCUUAGUCCUCACCCAAAUUCAUUCAUGGUGAGCCUGUUUUUAAGGAACAGGCUUAAUGGAAUAUUUUACAUAAUAAUGAACCGAAUGCCUUUAAUAAGGUACUAUAAAAUCCUAGUAUGAACACAUGUUCUAACAACAAAUAAAAGUACCGUAGUAGGUAACUAUACGACUGUCUAAUCAUGUUGUUCUCCAAUAGAACCAUUCAGAUGACCAUUUUACCACAAUUUUGUACCUGUUGGACAGCAAAAACCCUCUCUUCUGCUUUGUACAAUGAUAUAUCCAACCAACAGUGCAAUCCUAACUUUACUCCCAGGUAAAUGGGAAUGAGAUGUUGGGGUGUAGGGAGGUGACAACUCACCCUGGAACAAUUUGGUCAUUAUUUUGAACAAAAGUCAGAAUGCCUUCAGGAAUACAAAUGCAAAAUAGGCAUAUCUUACAUCGCAGCAAUAUAGGAUUUACCGGUAAUUCCUUGCUUCCAUUAGCAGGGCUUCAGUAAUCAUGUUACUACUCUUACCCAUCUAGUAGGAUAAAACAGCAAUGUAACCAUUUUUAUCAGGUAUUUGUUUUUAUCUCUUAUAUAAAAGGUUUUGCCUUAUUUUAAAAGACGAAGGUUGUAGAUAAAUUGAAAUGGAUAAGUCUAUUUCAUUUCCACACUCACAUUUUUGUUAAGAAGGUUGGGUAAGUGGCUGAAGCUAAUAUGGAUACAAAACAGCUUUGAUGGAUGACAAAGGAGAUUAAAUAUCAUUGGUGGUAGUUUUGCAGUAAGAUGUGGAGAAUAGGGAGGAAGAAAAGAUGCCAUCCAUAUUGAGCUUGAGAAAACAAUUCCUUUUUAGUAGGAUCUUAGUAUAAUAAUUAUAAAGCAUUAUUUAUGCACAGCAGUGUCAACAGUUGUCAUUGGCAAUAUACAUUAGCCUAGCAAACCUAGGAAAACAAUGCUGGCAGUGGGAGAUAAAUCCUUGACCUAAAUUUAAAAUCUAAAUAAAUAGAAUCAAAAUUGCUGGAGUUAAAUUCUAGUUCAGUGAUGUAACACUUUGAAGCAGAUUUGAGAUGGGAGUCCUAUACAACUUUGUAAUGUGGUGGCAAAAAAAGUGAAAUAAAAGUCUGUUGGUGGAAUAUUUCUCCAAACAUGAUUUAGGUCUUAAACAAGAAAAGGGCAUUCUGUCUCACUACAGGUGUAAAAAGCAACUCAGCAAAGCUAACAUGAUAACAUUGAUUCCUGCUGUUGUAAAUAAUCAUUGCGCUUCUAUUGUAUUGUACUAUUGUAUGGAAAUGUUAUGUAUCUCUUCCAUUCUACACACUGUAACCAUACAUCUGUUUACUGUUUACUGAAUAACACUCGAUGCGUG